UUCCACGCUGUAAACGAUGUACAUUCGCUGCUAGGAAGUAUCGACCCUUUUUAGUAGCUAAGCUAACGCGUUAAAUGUACCGCCUGGGGAGUACGGUCGCAAGACUAAAACUCAAAGGAAUUGACGGGGACCCCGCACAAGCGGUGGAGCAUGUGGUUUAAUUCGACGAUAAGCGAGGAACCUUACCAAGGCUUGACAUGUAGCUGCAUCUCUCAGAAAUGAGAGCGCCUUCGAGGGUGCUACACAGGUGCUGCACGGUUGUCGU
This 265-nucleotide ribosomal RNA is filed under the name uncultured bacterium. RNAcentral describes it as "partial 16S ribosomal RNA". It matches the Rfam family "Bacterial small subunit ribosomal RNA", at positions 793 to 1055 of the family's 1533-position model. The record is from RNAcentral.